AUACGGAGGGGGCUAGCGUUGUUCGGAAUUACUAGGCGUAAAGCGCGCGUAGGCGGGUUGGCAAGUUGAAGGUGAAAUCCCAGGGCUCAACCCUGGAACUGCCUCCAAAACUGCCAGUCUUGAGUUCGGAAGAGGUGAGUGGAAUUCCUAGUGUAGAGGUGAAAUUCGUAGAUAUUAGGAAGAACACCAGUGGCGAAGGCGACUCACUGGUCCGAUACUGACGCUGAGGUGCGAAAGCGUGGGGAGCAAACAGGAUUAGAUACCCCGGUAGUCC
RNAcentral lists this ribosomal RNA (274 nucleotides) under uncultured bacterium. RNAcentral describes it as "partial 16S ribosomal RNA". It matches the Rfam family "Bacterial small subunit ribosomal RNA", at positions 523 to 796 of the family's 1533-position model. The record is from RNAcentral.